Non-coding RNA from Zootermopsis nevadensis, 627 nucleotides. The record is from RefSeq and is a predicted model, not a curated record. Lineage: Eukaryota; Metazoa; Arthropoda; Insecta; Blattodea; Termopsidae.
UUCUUCGAAUUAAGGAUCAGCUGAGCACAUAAAACUCACUGAAGUAGAUGAAAAAUUCUAGGGCUACAAGCCGCGUCAGGUGUUACAAAGUUUUACAUUCACGCAUGUCGAUAUGAUGUGUUGGUCUCGACACCUAAGCAUAAAAGCCAGCGAGCUGAACGGUCCUGACUUCUUCUUCCGGAGUUUUUCCAGGCGCCAACUAUCCAGUACUGUCUUUUCCCCGUAAAGGUUUCUGAUGUUGAGGCAAGCUUUCGCGACGACUGAAGUUGAUGAAAGAUUCUUGGGCUUGUAGCCCGAAAAUUUUACAUCAACAUAAAACCCAGUCAUAUGCUAUUGGUGGGGGACGCAGCUCUGUUGUGUUGAGUCCUGUGAGCGAUUCACAGGUAAACACAACGGCGACAUGACAGUUGCCCAGUCGCAACUGAUACAGAAGUUUUGAAGCAGAGCAGCAGAAAAAUAAAUAAUGAAACAAUCAUGCAAUUUCAGUUUCUAUUAAGAAGUGACACUUUGGAAUCUGUUUACAAAAACAACGAUACCAAUAAGAAGAACAGAAAUAACUUAUAAACAUAAAGGAGUAUAUAUACAGGCGUACGUGCCCUCAUUUCUCUGCGUGUUGUUCCCAACAAC